Molecule: small nuclear RNA, 60 nt
Filed under: Microcebus murinus (gray mouse lemur)
Lineage: Eukaryota; Metazoa; Chordata; Mammalia; Primates; Cheirogaleidae
Source: RNAcentral
GUGCUUGCUUCAGCAGCACAUAUACUAAAAUUGGAAUGAUACAGAGAAGAUUAGCAUGUC